AAAAACAUCUACAACUGUCCACAUCUAAUGUUGAGGCUGAGGAGCAGAGCCGAUCCGGUGUCCUCGGUGCUCUUGUAAAGCGCACACCACACAGAUGAUCUCCUCGUCGGUGCAGCAGUAAACAUCCCGCGGGCCGUCGUGUCUGCGGCACCGAGCGCUCCCCUCGGUCCCGGAGUCAGCGCGGCUCCGGCGGGGUCUCUGCGGGGCCAGUCCCGGUCCAUCCUGCUGCUGCUGCUGCCUCCUCUGCGCGUCCCUCAGCAGCUCGGACAGAGAGGAGUUCAUGACUCGGGACAGCUGCACGGACAGAUGUCCCUCUGCUCCUGGUACCAGCGUCUGCAGAAGUUCUUCCCGCGCCCGAAGUGAAGCGAUCGACACCGACAGGAGCGGCAGAAGUUUACUUUCACUUCCUCAGUCUGUAGUCAGGAAGUGAGUGGGUGUGUCCGAAGUUUCAAAACAAAACAAAAAGCCCAUUGGUGGUGGUGAUGUGGGGUCCUCAUGCUUAAGAGAGAUCGACUGAUUAAUCGGUUGCUCGAUAUAAUCAGUCAUAUGAGCCCCAUCUGUUUUGGAUUUUAUGUUUUGCAGAUAUGCAACGAUAAGAAAACGUACACAAUCUCACUCUGUGUUUAAAAACAGGCAUUAGGACAGCCCCUCUCGAAAGGAAAUGCUCACUCAGAUAUUUUCAUGUUGAAUUGAUUAUGUACUAAUUGAUGACAAGCAGGGGUUAGGCCCACACUAAAUAGAUCCUGGUUGCAAUUAUAUCCAGUAUAGAAGAAGUGUACUCAUUUUAUAAAGUAGCAUGACACCAUUAUGACAAAGCAUCUAGUUUGAACCAGAAAGCAGGUGGAGAAAGCUCCUGAUUGGCUGAAAGGGCACAAGCAGAGACGAGGGUGGGCACAAUGAGUUGAAGGUUUGAAGCUCAUCCUUCCUCAUACUGUUUUUUUCUCUGCAAAACAGUAAAUUAUUUUAUCUUAUAUGUUUAUGUCAAGAAGAAUCAUACAAGCAUUUCAGUACACGUCAGUGUGUAUAGUUGGUGUAUGUGAUAAAAGAAUAUUAUUUUUUUUAAACGCACAGAGACACUGCCCUCUGCUGGAAUGUUUGGAACUACUGAAGUUUGGAAAAGACGGUUCGCUGCUCAGGCCCUAAAGAGAAAAAUAAAUGCAAACACGAACGGCAGUAUACUUUUAUUACAGUAUUGAAGUCGUAAACUUGACAAAGCCAUGAUAAAUAAGUCUCGCAAUAUACAUGUAUUCUCUUUUCCUUAAUCUUCAUAGUAAAACAAACAAAAUGCCAAAUAGUAGAAAAACUAAAUACAGAGGAAAAUGGUUAACUGGCAACUUUUUAUUUUCCCCCCCAAUUGAGUUUUUCACUUAAGGUAACACUCAUCUCAAACCAGAGCUUUGAUGAUUCUUUUUCUUUCACAGAAUCAAAUUAUGGCAACAUACAAACGCUUUUAACAAAGUUCAUCAAAAAUACUCUAAAAACGCAAAAAUUCAAGCCUGUACGUUCAUGUCUAGAUGGUCCCAGGGCAAAGAUGUGUAGGCAGCCCACAGGUGAGGCGCAGAAAAAUGCUGAUUAAAUUGAAAUAACUUGUAAAUGCAACAGAAUAAAAACAGUUUGUUUAUAUA
Molecule: long non-coding RNA, 1625 nt
Organism: Hippoglossus stenolepis (Pacific halibut)
Lineage: Eukaryota; Metazoa; Chordata; Actinopteri; Pleuronectiformes; Pleuronectidae
Exons: 2
Source: RefSeq, a predicted model, not a curated record